AAGCCCCGGCACCUUUACUGUGCGUCUUCAAAUUUGCAAUUUGCUGUGCUAACACCCCUGGGGCCU
This 66-nucleotide transfer RNA is filed under the name Phelsuma serraticauda. RNAcentral describes it as "tRNA-Cys". Lineage: Eukaryota; Metazoa; Chordata; Lepidosauria; Squamata; Gekkonidae. The record is from RNAcentral.